Molecule: long non-coding RNA, 506 nt
Organism: Strigops habroptila (Kakapo)
Lineage: Eukaryota; Metazoa; Chordata; Aves; Psittaciformes; Psittacidae
Exons: 4
Source: RefSeq, a predicted model, not a curated record
GCAGGAGCUCCUAGACGCCUGCAGGGGAGUUCCCAACUUUCCCAGCCGCUUUGCAAAUUCUCACCAAACUUAUCCGGAGUUUGCCAGACUAGUAUGCAGUCAAAGGCAACCUCAUGAGCUACAUGGGAACAGAAGGAACAGAACAGUGACAGGAUUUUUUUUCUUGGAUCUGGCCAUUAGACAAGAUUUAGAAUACUGUUCUGCCCCCAACAAAAAGGAGAAAAGGAAAAAAAGGCCUCUGAUAAAACAACCAACCAACCAACCAGCCACCUAGGAGUUGUGAACCCACAGUUUACUCCCCGAAAUCACCACAGGACUGCUUGAGGAGGAAUCUGAACCGUCACCCUAUGAGAUCAUGUACAUGCCCACAUUCCAUAACACCAUGUGGCAGCUUAAUAACAUGUUGCGUGAAGAACCAUCUUCCUUGGUUUGCUCUGAAUAUCACUGGUUUUAUUUUAUGCCUCUCAUUUUUAUGGUGGAACUGAAAUAAAUCCCUAUCCACAUUC